Molecule: ribosomal RNA, 1465 nt
Filed under: uncultured Bordetella sp.
Lineage: Bacteria; Pseudomonadati; Pseudomonadota; Betaproteobacteria; Burkholderiales; Alcaligenaceae
Description: partial 16S-23S ribosomal RNA intergenic spacer
Rfam family: Bacterial small subunit ribosomal RNA
Source: RNAcentral
GUUUGAUGGCGGCCUGGAUUGAACGCUGGCGGGAUGCUUUACACAUGCAAGUCGAACGGCAGCACGGACUUCGGUCUGGUGGCGAGUGGCGAACGGGUGAGUAAUGUAUCGGAACGUGCCUAGUAGCGGGGAUAACUACGCGAAAGCGUAGCCAAUACCGCAUACGCCCUUCGGGAAAGCGGGGGACCUUUCGGGCCUCGCAAUUAUUAGAGCGGCCGAUAUCGGAUGAAGCUGGUUGGUGGGGUAACGGCUCACCAAGGCGACGAUCCGUAGCUGGUUUGAGAGGAGACCAGCCACACUGGACUGAGACACGGCCCAGACUCCUACGGAGGCAGCAGGGGGAAUUUUGGACAAUGGGGAAAUCCCUGAUCCAGCCAUCCCGCGUGUGUGAUGAAGGCCUUCGGGUUGUAAAGACGCAGGCAGGAAAGAAACGGCACGGGAUAAUACCCGUGCAACUGACGGUACCUGCAGAAUAAGUACCGCUAACUACGUGCCAGCAGCCGCGGUAAUACGUAGGGUGCAAGCGUUAAUCGGAAUUACUGGGCGUGAAGCGUGCGCAGGCGGUUCUGAAAGAAAGAUGUGAAAUCCAGAGCUUAACUUUGGAACUGCAUUUUUAACUACCGAGCUAGAGUGUGUCAGAGGGAGGUGGAAUUCAUGUAGCAGUGAAAUGCGUAGAUAUGCGGAGGAACAACGAUGGCGAAGGCAGCCUCCUGGGAUAACACUGACGCUCAUGCACGAAAGCGUGGGGAGCAAACAGGAUUAGAUACCCUGGUAGUCCACGCCCUAAACGAUGUCAACUAGGCUAUGUUGGGGCCUUCUGGCCUUGGUAGCAGCUAACGGUGUAGUAGUUGACCGCCCGGGGAGUACGGUCGCAAGAUUAAAACUCGGCGAAUUGACGGGGACCCGCAGCCAAAGUGGUGGAGGAUGUGGAUUAACGAUGCAACGCGAAAACCUUACCUACCCUUGACAUGUCUGGAAUCCCUAAGAGAUUUGGGAGUGCUCGCAAGAGAAACCGAACACAGGUGCUGCAUGGCCACGUCAGCUCGUAGUCGUGUAUGUUGGUUGUCCGCAACGAGGCAAAACCCUUGUCGAGUUAGUUGCUACCGAAGGGCACUUAAUGAGACCGCCGGUGACAAACUGAGAAGCAGGAUGACGUCAAGUCCUCAUGGCUCCCAGGGUAGGGCUUCACACGUCAUACAAUAUCGACAGAGGGUCGCCAACCCGCGAGGGGGAGCCAAUCCCAGAAACCCGAUCGUGGUAGUCCGGAUCGGUAGUUCGCAACUCGACUGCGUGAAGUCGGGAACGCUAGUAAUCGCGGAUCAGCAUGUCGCGGUGAAUACGUUCCCGGUCUUGUACACACCGCCUGUCACACCAUGGGAGUGGUUUUACCAGAAGUAGUUAGCCUAACCGUAAGGAGGGCGAUUACCACGGUAGGAUUCAUGACUGGGGUGAAGUCGUAACAAGG